RNAcentral lists this ribosomal RNA (472 nucleotides) under uncultured Entrophospora. RNAcentral's name for it is "SSU rRNA". It matches the Rfam family "Eukaryotic small subunit ribosomal RNA", at positions 569 to 1039 of the family's 1831-position model. Lineage: Eukaryota; Fungi; Glomeromycota; Glomeromycetes; Entrophosporales; Entrophosporaceae. The record is from RNAcentral.
AGCAGCCGCGGUAAUUCCAGCUCCAAUAGCGUAUAUUAAAGUUGUUGCAGUUAAAAAGCUCGUAGUUGAAUUUCGGGAUUGACGUGAUGGUCGUGCCUUAAGGGGUAUGAACUGUUGCUGUUGAUUUCUCACCUUCUGGAGAAACUUGAUGUCCUUAAUUGGGUGUCUUGCGGAUCCAGGACCUUUACCUUGAAAAAAUUAGAGUGUUUAAAGCAGGCAUUUUGCUCGAAUACAUUAGCAUGGAAUAAUAGAAUAGGACGGCAUGGUUCUAUUUUGUUGGUUUCUAGGAUCACCGUAAUGAUUAAUAGGGAUAGUUGGGGGCAUUAGUAUUCAAUUGUCAGAGGUGAAAUUCUUGGAUUUAUUGAAGACUAACUACUGCGAAAGCAUUUGCCAAGGAUGUUUUCAUUAAUCAAGAACGAAAGUUAGGGGAUCGAAGACGAUCAGAUACCGUCGUAGUCUUAACCAUAAACUA